UCUUUCCUUCUCCCUUGUGUUUUCAUCCCAACACGAUUUCUCUCCCCAUUCGACUACCUUCUCCCUCAUUUCUCUCCCCUUUCGCUAGUCAUCACCAUCUCGCUCACUAUCGUUACUCAACCUGCGCCUCACAUCGACAAUGGCAACAACCUACUCUUGUGAGAUGUGCGGCCGCACGGCUUCUCACUCACUCAGUUGGAUCUCUCUUAUUCUUCUCUCAGUUUGAUGGAUCAUGUUGCUUUUUUAUUUUUAGUUGCAAUUUUUGGGGAUUUUUAUGUUUUCCCUUUCUGAUAGACCUAAGAUCUUUGAUGGGUUUGUGGAAUUUUUUGAAUCUCGCUUAGUUGUUCAAUUUUCUGAGUUUCUAAGCUGGUUCUUGCUUUAGCAAACAUGAUGUAAGAUAGGGAUAGUGGGUGAAAAAAUAACUUCUCACAAUUUUUGUUCAAAACCCAUUUUCGGAAUUUUGGGAUUUUUUUGAGUUUUGUGAGGUCAUUAUCGGUGAUGUAUUCCAAAAUUACAUUUUUGUGGAUAUGGAUGCCUUGUCGGAUUAGAAAACUUAGGGGAUUUAGAUUUUAAAUGAGAAUGAUGGAGCCCCAAGGAUUUUAAAUCAUAAUCCAAUCAUUUACAGGUGAUCAAAUAAAAAAGUGCCCUCAAGGUGUUCGACGUAAAGCCUGUGAGACAAUCGAAGGGACAACUAUAUCCUUGUGCUUGUUGGAGAAGUUGUCUUGUUUGGUGAGAUUAGUCUAAAGCAUGUCCAGUCACCAGUUCUAGCUCCUAGAUAUUUGGUUGUCCUACAAUGUCAUUUAGUUGAUGACAAACUCUUUAAGACAAAUUGAUUUUUAUUAUGGUUUACAGAUUGAUAAUUAUGAUGGUUUAUAUAUUCUAAAUUCAAUGACUAUUGUAAAUGUUAUAAAAAGCCUUAUAACAAUAGGGAAGUUGGCACCUCUAGUUAGUUUGUAAUUUGUAUUCUAUACUUUCAAUUGAGUAUGUUUGCUGCAUAUGUUUCACUGAUAUUUUCUUUUUGGUUUUGGUCCAGUCAUAACUCAUUGGCUAUUUUUCCUUACAUCUUUGUUCUCCAUAUCUCCUUAUACUCCCCUAAGAUUAUUAAUUGCAGUUUGGAUCUUUAUGCUAAAUUAAUACAUAACAUUCAUUGGUGAUCUUUCUUUCAUAACAAGUUUUGAUUUUUUGAUUCUGACAAGAGAAGUUGAUUUAUAUCUCAUGCACUUCUUCAAUGGAAUUUUCAAAUUUAUUUAUUGAUACACCGAGAUUGAUCUCUAUUUGGUCGACAAUAACUUCUGAUUGCCCAAAUAUCAUGCUCAAUAUGAACAUGUUUUUGCUAAUACCUUGUCUCCAAAUUUUUUCUACUUCAAUUUGAUGGUUUCAUUGAUUUGGAUACGCUGAAUCUUCAAGGAGAUGGAAGAUGCUAUACAUCCAUCGUAAGUUUUUUUCUCCUUCAGAUAAUCUGAAUGUAAAUGAUAAACGAGAUAAAGCAUAAUCUUCUUCGAGAACAAGAUAAAGAAAUAGCAACUUGCAAGGUUACAUUUUUUUGUAGAAGUCCUACAUUUCUUCCUUUCUUAUUGUGCAUUGAUUUUACAUUUUGCUUACAUAUAAUAAUGGAUAAAUUUGAAGCUUAGAUAGUUUGUGAAGCAUUCAAAUUAUGAACAAUUUGGUGAAUUUAUGUUUUGGUUUCGUGAAGCAAAGUUGCUCUAACAAUGGAAAAAUUUGGCUUAAAGAAUCAUUUGUGUUUGUUGUCAGGCUCUAAUCGCGCUUGUUUUGUUGGGAUCUUUGUUUGGUCGUUAUGUUGGUUGUUUUAUCAAAUUAUUAAAUCUUUCAUGAACCCGAAAAAGUCGACAAUUAGGGAUGCAACUAAUUGAUGGAUGAGCUUCCUUGUUGAGGUUGGUGUGUGAGACUUGUUUAAUUCUAUAAUUUGUGUUUGUAGGAAUUUGAACAUGUUUAAUAUAAUAUACUAGCAAGUCCGAGAAUACUUUGUUCCUACUAUAUUUCAACUUUGUUAUCUAAAUUAAUGUAUUUGCGAUUUCGAUCGACAAUUUAAUUAAA
This is a long non-coding RNA of Momordica charantia (bitter melon), 2055 nucleotides long. RefSeq lists it as uncharacterized. NCBI's taxonomy places the organism in Eukaryota, Viridiplantae, Streptophyta, Magnoliopsida, Cucurbitales, Cucurbitaceae. The record is from RefSeq and is a predicted model, not a curated record.